AUUGAACGCUGGCGGCAGGCCUAACACAUGCAAGUCGAGCGAGUGGCGGACGGGUGAGUAAUGUAUGGGGAUCUGCCCGAUGGAGGGGGAUAACUACUGGAAACGGUGGCUAAUACCGCAUACUAUCGGAUGAACCCAUAUGGGAUUAGCUAGUAGGUGGGGUAAAGGCUCACCUAGGCGACGAUCCCUAGCUGGUCUGAGAGGAUGAUCAGCCACACUGGAACUGAGACAGGGCCCAGACUCCUACGGGAGGCAGCAGUAGGGAAUAUUGGGCAAUGGACGAAAGUCUGACCGAGCAACGCCGCGGGAGGGAAGAAGGUUUUCGGAUCGUAAAGUACUGUUGGUAGGGAAGCGGUAUCCAAACAGAAAGCAACGGCUAACUACGUGCCAGCAGCCGCGGUAAUAC
Molecule: ribosomal RNA, 406 nt
Filed under: uncultured bacterium
Lineage: Bacteria
Description: partial 16S ribosomal RNA
Rfam family: Bacterial small subunit ribosomal RNA
Source: RNAcentral